CAGAACUACAGGUGUCCCUUUUUACCAAAUAGAAAAUGCAUUCAUCCUGUUGUUUACGACUCGAUCCUCCAAACCUCAAGGGAUGCAGUUCGCAUGAUGGUGCUGGUUCAGAUCUCAUUUCGCCAGACUGUUCCAGGGCCUGUCUGGAAGAUUGUUUCAUGGUGCAAGGAAUUCAUUCUCUGAAAUUGUUGCUCAGUUGUUAUGAACAGCUCAGACUUCUUUUCCACAACUACCCUGCGUCUAAAUCCUAUAACAAUUUGAGCCAAGUGACACACAAAUCUUCUGUGAACAGCUCCUCAAACUCUUGUCAUCUAUUUUUUUUUUAUUGCUAAUGGAUUUUUAAAUAUUCCAUUUUCUACACAUUUUUAUUUGGUAGAAUUAAACAGCGUGCAUGAAGUACUUUAACUUGACUUUGAUGUACACCAUUUUUCUGAAUGAAAGAUCAAGCCUUUUAUUUACAUGUUAUGGAGUGAUUGCCUUUUAAAAGUCUAACCCAUUAAUAUUCCUUUUUUUAAAAAAAAAAUCAAUCACUGUACUCAGUCAGAAAGAAAGAGAAGUUUUAGAAAGGAUCAGUUUAAAAUAAAAUAGCAUUGCCCAGACUCA
This is a long non-coding RNA of Rhineura floridana, 603 nucleotides long. RefSeq lists it as uncharacterized. The record is from RefSeq and is a predicted model, not a curated record. NCBI's taxonomy places the organism in Eukaryota, Metazoa, Chordata, Lepidosauria, Squamata, Rhineuridae. The transcript has 3 exons.